GGCUUCAUAGCUCAAUUGGUUAGAGCGUUGCACCGGUAUCGCAGGGUCACAGGUUCAAACCCUGUUAAAGUCC
RNAcentral lists this transfer RNA (73 nucleotides) under Acropora cervicornis. Its description in RNAcentral is "tRNA-Thr". It matches the Rfam family "tRNA". Rfam says of the family: Transfer RNA (tRNA) molecules are approximately 80 nucleotides in length. Their secondary structure includes four short double-helical elements and three loops (D, anti-codon, and T loops). Further hydrogen bonds mediate the characteristic L-shaped molecular structure. tRNAs have two regions of fundamental functional importance: the anti-codon, which is responsible for specific mRNA codon recognition, and the 3' end, to which the tRNAs corresponding amino acid is attached (by aminoacyl-tRNA synthetases). tRNAs cope with the degeneracy of the genetic code in two manners: having more than one tRNA (with a specific anti-codon) for a particular amino acid; and 'wobble' base-pairing, i.e. permitting non-standard base-pairing at the 3rd anti-codon position. Lineage: Eukaryota; Metazoa; Cnidaria; Anthozoa; Scleractinia; Acroporidae. The record is from RNAcentral.